This 484-nucleotide ribosomal RNA is filed under the name uncultured bacterium. RNAcentral describes it as "partial 16S ribosomal RNA". It matches the Rfam family "Bacterial small subunit ribosomal RNA", at positions 30 to 507 of the family's 1533-position model. The record is from RNAcentral.
AUUGAACGCUGGCGGCAGGCCUAACACAUGCAAGUCGAGCGGAUGAAGGGAGCUUGCUCCUGGAUUCAGCGGCGGACGGGUGAGUAAUGCCUAGGAAUCUGCCUGGUAGUGGGGGAUAACGUCCGGAAACGGGCGCUAAUACCGCAUACGUCCCGAGGGAGAAAGUGGGGGAUCUUCGGACCUCACGCUAUCAGAUGAGCCUAGGUCGGAUUAGCUAGUUGGUGGGGUAAAGGCCUACCAAGGCGACGAUCCGUAACUGGUCUGAGAGGAUGAUCAGUCACACUGGAGCUGAGACACGGUCCAGACUCCUACGGGAGGCAGCAGUGGGGAAUAUUGGACAAUGGGCGAAAGCCUGAUCCAGCCAUGCCGCGUGUGUGAAGAAGGUCUUCGGAUUGUAAAGCACUUUAAGUUGGGAGGAAGGGCAGUAAGUUAAUACCUUGCUGUUUUGACGUUACCAACAGAAUAAGCACCGGCUAACUUCGUG